GGGGGUAUGGCUCAAAUACUAGAGCACUUGCCUGGUAAGUAUGAGGCCCAGAGUUCAAUCCCCAGCACCACCA
This 73-nucleotide transfer RNA is filed under the name Dipodomys ordii (Ord's kangaroo rat). It matches the Rfam family "tRNA". From Rfam's summary of the family: Transfer RNA (tRNA) molecules are approximately 80 nucleotides in length. Their secondary structure includes four short double-helical elements and three loops (D, anti-codon, and T loops). Further hydrogen bonds mediate the characteristic L-shaped molecular structure. tRNAs have two regions of fundamental functional importance: the anti-codon, which is responsible for specific mRNA codon recognition, and the 3' end, to which the tRNAs corresponding amino acid is attached (by aminoacyl-tRNA synthetases). tRNAs cope with the degeneracy of the genetic code in two manners: having more than one tRNA (with a specific anti-codon) for a particular amino acid; and 'wobble' base-pairing, i.e. permitting non-standard base-pairing at the 3rd anti-codon position. The record is from Rfam by way of RNAcentral. Lineage: Eukaryota; Metazoa; Chordata; Mammalia; Rodentia; Heteromyidae.